This 77-nucleotide transfer RNA is filed under the name Candidatus Saccharimonadota bacterium. RNAcentral describes it as "tRNA-Thr". It matches the Rfam family "tRNA". From Rfam's summary of the family: Transfer RNA (tRNA) molecules are approximately 80 nucleotides in length. Their secondary structure includes four short double-helical elements and three loops (D, anti-codon, and T loops). Lineage: Bacteria; Candidatus Saccharimonadota. The record is from RNAcentral.
GCCAAUGUAGCUCAGCUGGCUAGAGCACCGCUUUCGUAAAGCGGGGGUCGCGGGUUCGAGUCCCACCAUUGGCUCCA